CUGCUUAUACCUCCUGGUGAAUUUACUAUCUUGCUUUAGCACUUUUGCACUCCAUUUUUAUUUUUAAAAAUGAAGGAAAUGUGAAAAAACAACUUUAUGGAGUUCCCAUUGUGGCUCAGUGGUGAUGAACCUGACUAGUAUCAUCCAUGGGGACGCAGGUUCAAUCCCUGGUCUCACUCAGUGGGUUAAGGAUUUGGCAUUGCUGUGAGCUGUGGUGUAGGUCAUAGAUGUGACUCAGAUCCCACAUUGCUGUGGUUUUGGUAUAGGCCAGCAGCUGCAGCUCUGAUUUGACCCCUAUCCUGGGAACUUCCAUAUGCUGAGAGUACAGCCCUAAAAACAAAACAAAACAAAACAAUACACACACACACACAAAAAAAAAAAACUUUAUUUUCAGCAGGUAGGUCUCUUAUUUAUAUAGACUUUGGGUGGGAAGAAAAAUAGAAAAGAAGACAUAGCAAACAUUCUUACUAAUUAUCUGAUGACAAAUGAAUUAUUUUAUUUAUGGCUACAGACCUAUUCCCAGCUUCCUUAGAAAUACUUUGGUGAAAACAAUGACCAUCUGAGAAAUAACUGAGUCUAAACUCUAGGCAGUGACAAUUUCAGAGACAAAUUGAAAAGGAUGAAAAAACAAAUGUUUUGUUUCUCUCAAGACAGACCAAAUUGGGAAUGGAUUCUGUGGUCCCAUGGACACACCCUUUUGAGAGCAGUAAGCCACAAUAUGUGAAGUUCCCACCCUCCCUAAGGCUGCCUAGACCAGGAGAUGGACAGGCUCAAUUCUGAACAUCCUUUAUCAGUCAGAGGGCUUUAGAGGUGGAAUGUGAAUUGCUGUAUAAUUUUGAAAUUUAUCCUUUCAUACUUAGGUUGAGUCAUUUUGAUUGAAAGGAGAAGAUAUUCAUUGGGAUGUUUCAAAUGUGGAAUGAUGAAGUUUUAAGAUUUCUACUAGAUGCAGUGGUGUGGUAUGUUUCCUAAUUGUGUCCAGGACAGAGCUUUUAUGAUUAUGCAAUUAUUUUCCAAUUCUCAGCCUCUGAAAUAAACAUCUGGACAGAAUUAUAAUACCCUGUGGGUAGAGACUGGGUCUAUAAUUGCUAUUUACCAAUGUGCUUUAGGUUCCAGGCUCAAUAGCACUGCCUUCUCUGUUCUAUAACCUGUACAUAACGAUGACUCAGGAGAAAUGUUACCUGGAGAACUCAAACUUUAGGGUGUUUCACAGCUAUCCGUCUCCUCAAUAAUUGUUCUAACUGCUGAUUCUCUGGCCCCAUCACUGGUGAUUCUGAUUCUUAAGGUCUAGAUGGGUACAGGGAAUUGGCGUGUUUAACAGGCUUCCCUAUAUAACUGGUCAUGCAGUUUUCUCAGCACAUUUUAAGGAACAUAGUCCUAGUCUUCUGCACCAUUCUGGAUGAGCGCUGUGUGCGUCCACUUUGCACAGCCAUCUUCAUUAAAGAACACACUCUCACAUCACACUCUGGGCCAAUUAAUCUGAUUUCUCUAAUCAUGAGUGUUCUAAUCAUUCACUCUUCAAAGUGGUGAGAGAUUUCUCAGAAACCACUUUGGUUUUUGGAGAAGUGGAGUGACUGCAUCAACACUGAUUCUGUUUUUGCAAUGUGGGCAGUGGACAAAAUUAACCUUUUGUUUUCUGGUUCAGGGCAAUCAUUUAGUACCAAAAGGAAAGCUAUCCACAUACUCACUGUAUCAUUUUGUUUGUGUACAAACACUGUUUGUGUUUAUAUUUGUAGUUUUAGUAAUUGAGAUUUUGACGAGUGUCUAUGUUCAACAUCUCAAUGUCCAAGUUGGGAAGAGGUGUUACAGGGGAGGAAAGAGAAGGAGUGAGAGUGGAUGAGGAGGUUAUUCAAGACAUUUUGUUUUGGGGAUACCUGCCAAAAUUCCUGACAUCAAAUCAAAUAUUCCAUGAAUAGGUGGUUUUUGAUAUUUUUUAGGGAGUCAUGGACUCCCUCUAGGAUCUGAUUAAAGAUCUAAAGCUAACCAGAAACAUGCAUAUAGAACACUUGAACACAAAAAUUUUCAACAAUUAUAAGUUUUUCAUAGAUUGCCCUCCCCCAAAGCUCAUCUAGAUUUAGAGCUUGUGUUCUGAGUAGAUUGCCUGUGCCUCCUUCUUUAAAGCAAUCUUUUUGCUCCUACCACAGACACUCCUGCAUCAGUCCUUAAGAGUUCUAUAGAUAGGGAUCACUUGGGGGUAAUUGCUAGUUAUUGCUCUACCCUUAGAGACUGAUUCAGCAGGUCUGAGUCCCAGCUGAAGCACACCAGUUAUUUUACAAGCCUCAGGUGAUAAUGAUGCAGGUAAUAAAUUAUCACAAUUUGAUAAAUAGUCACAAUGAGAAACUGGGCAGUGACUCAGAAAGCGGUGGCUCAACUAGUAUGAAUAUAUAGAAAAAGCAAUCAGACCCAUUUCCUCAACCAGAGAGAAACCUAGGUAAAAAGCCUGGGGCUGGCUUUUCCAAGACCCUCCUCUCUAUCUGCCCAUCUGUUCAACUUGGCUAUCCUAUUGCAGUCAUUUUAGCCAAUGAAAAUUGCACACAGUGCCCAGUUUAACUUCAUAUUUUCUGUAUAAAAUAUUGAGGAUGGGGGCUUUGGUAGGCAAAAAGAUUUUUCUCUCACACCAGACUCUUACAAGGGUGUUUAGGGCCUAUUUUUUUUCUUCAAAGGAUUUCCUUGUCCUUGUGUUCAGGGAGCUGUACUGCUUACAACUCAAAAAAGAUAAGGAUGUGUUGAGUAGACAAGCUAUAGUGAUGCUUCCUCACCAGUUUCUACAUGCUUCCAGAGAGUAACUUGGCUGGAUAUGUUGAAACAAUGCAGAAGAUCUUCUGUAGGUUGACAGCAGCCACUGGUGAACAAAAAUAAAUUUUAUUCUCUGUGCCAGUGAAUAAAAAUAUUCUAGAAGAAAACAAAAGUCCUGCCCUAGUGGGCAGGCUCAUCAUUUGCCUUCCUGAUAUAUCAAAACAGUAGUCAGAAUAAAAUAGAAACCCAUCCACCCCACUCUGACCAAACAGGACAUAUAGCCAAAAAUUAUAUCAAAGUAUCUAAAUAUUGAAUUUUAAUUUUUCCUUUCAAAGAAUAAAUGCAUGAUAUUUCUACAACAUUGACCUCAGCUAACUUUCGCAACUGUGGCUUGUCAAACUUUCCUCUUUCAUCCCUCACUGUAAAUAAAGAUUGCUUUCAGAUUGUAUGAGAAGAAAUCAGAUCAUAAUAGGAGAAAAAAAAAUAGGCAUUUUUUCCUCUGAUGCAGGAGGGCAUUUAAGUGGCUCUUAUCAAG
Molecule: long non-coding RNA, 3268 nt
Filed under: Sus scrofa (pig)
Lineage: Eukaryota; Metazoa; Chordata; Mammalia; Artiodactyla; Suidae
Description: lncRNA (ENSSSCG00000056026.1)
Source: RNAcentral